Molecule: ribosomal RNA, 437 nt
Filed under: Retusa umbilicata
Lineage: Eukaryota; Metazoa; Mollusca; Gastropoda; Cephalaspidea; Retusidae
Description: partial 16S ribosomal RNA
Rfam family: Archaeal large subunit ribosomal RNA
Source: RNAcentral
AAAACAUAGCCCUAAGAUAAAACUUAAUUAGGGUAAAACCUGCCCGGUGAAUUACUUUUAACGGCCGCGGUACCCUGACCGUGCUAAGGUAGCAUAAUCAUUUGGCUUUUAAUUGAAGUCUGGAAUGAAUGGGAUAACGGAAUUAAGCUGUCUUAAAAUAAUAUUUCAGAAUUUACUAAUAAAGUGAAAAGGCUUUAGGAAGAAGGGGGACGAGAAGACCCUAAGAGUUUUUAAAAUUUAGUUGGGGCGACACAGGAUCAUUAAAAGAUAAAACAUCCUUUUAAUUAUAAAUCAUUUUUUAUUUUUAUAGAUAAACUACCUUAGGGAUAACAGCAUAAUCUUUUAUUAGGAUUUUGACCUCGAUGUUGGACUAGAGAAGGUCUAAGCUAGCCGCUUAGCUUAAUUAUUCUGUUCGAAUAAAAAACUCUACGUGAUCU